This 65-nucleotide transfer RNA is filed under the name Phytophthora infestans (potato late blight agent). It matches the Rfam family "tRNA". From Rfam's summary of the family: Transfer RNA (tRNA) molecules are approximately 80 nucleotides in length. Their secondary structure includes four short double-helical elements and three loops (D, anti-codon, and T loops). The record is from Rfam by way of RNAcentral. RNAcentral also lists the same sequence under 1 other name. Lineage: Eukaryota; Oomycota; Peronosporomycetes; Peronosporales; Peronosporaceae.
CUUUUAGCUUAAUGGUUGAGCGCUGGCUUUGAGAGCCAUAGAUCGGUGGUUCGAACCCACCAGGG